This 437-nucleotide ribosomal RNA is filed under the name uncultured bacterium. Its description in RNAcentral is "bacterial SSU rRNA". It matches the Rfam family "Bacterial small subunit ribosomal RNA", at positions 343 to 797 of the family's 1533-position model. The record is from RNAcentral.
UGGAGGCAGCAGUGAGGAAUCUUGGACAAUGGGCGCAAGCCUGAUCCAGCCAUGCCGCGUGAGUGAUGAAGGCCUUAGGGUUGUAAAGCUCUUUCAGCGGGGAAGAUAAUGACGGUACCCGCAGAAGAAGCCCCGGCUAACUUCGUGCCAGCAGCCGCGGUAAUACGAAGGGGGCUAGCGUUGCUCGGAAUCACUGGGCGUAAAGCGCACGUAGGCGGCUUUCUAAGUCAGGGGUGAAAUCCUGGAGCUCAACUCCAGAACUGCCUUUGAUACUGGGAAGCUCGAGUCCGGAAGAGGUGAGUGGAACUCCGAGUGUAGAGGUGAAAUUCGUAGAUAUUCGGAAGAACACCAGUGGCGAAGGCGGCUCACUGGUCCGGUACUGACGCUGAGGUGCGAAAGCGUGGGGAGCAAACAGGAUUAGAUACCCCCGUAGUCCC